RNAcentral lists this microRNA (21 nucleotides) under Cordylochernes scorpioides. The record is from RNAcentral. Lineage: Eukaryota; Metazoa; Arthropoda; Arachnida; Pseudoscorpiones; Chernetidae.
GCCCCUGUCGCUUGCCCAAGG